Non-coding RNA from Schistosoma margrebowiei, 46 nucleotides. The record is from Rfam. Lineage: Eukaryota; Metazoa; Platyhelminthes; Trematoda; Strigeidida; Schistosomatidae.
GCACUGCUGAGGAGUCCCACAAUUGGACGAAACGGCCGUCCAGUAC